UACAGAGGUCUCAAGCGUUGUUCGGAUUCAUUGGGCGUAAAGGGUGUGUAGGUGGCGCGCUAAGUCGGGUGUGAAAUUUCGGAGCUUAACUCCGAAACUGCAUUCGAUACUGGCGUGCUUGAGGACUGGAGAGGAGACUGGAAUUCAUGGUGUAGCGGUGAAAUGCGCAGAUAUCGGGAGGAACACCUAUGGCGAAGGCAGCUCGCUGGGACGUUACUGACGCUGAGACGCGAAAGCGUGGGGAGCAAACAGG
Molecule: ribosomal RNA, 253 nt
Filed under: uncultured bacterium
Lineage: Bacteria
Description: partial 16S ribosomal RNA
Rfam family: Bacterial small subunit ribosomal RNA
Source: RNAcentral